Molecule: long non-coding RNA, 592 nt
Filed under: Homo sapiens (human)
Lineage: Eukaryota; Metazoa; Chordata; Mammalia; Primates; Hominidae
Description: HSALNT0051630
Source: RNAcentral
CAAUCAUCGAGUGGGAGUAGCCCAGGAGAAGUGUGGCCUCAGCAUGAACUUGGUAGUGGAUCCAGUGGGGCAGCUGCUGAGGCCGAAGGUCAACUAUGUUCUUGCAGCAGGAGAUCUGAGUCGGGCAUUUCCAUGGAUGAUGCAGAGGGUAGCACGCCAGCUCCACGCACAGCCCAUGCUUACCACAACCCUUUCACUUCCCACUGGACAAUCCCAUACUGUAGGCUGUACAUCUUAUUAUCAUGUCAGUCUAUGCCACCAUAGCAAUUUCAGGAUCUAAUGAUGGCCAGUUUACCUGGAUUACAUUGCAGGCCACUCUCUGCCUUGUCGGGGUGCUCUGUAUUGACUGAGGACCAUUGGGUCCCUCAGAUUGUCUCUUGGGGAGUAAGAACGUGAGAAGCCUGAGAGAAGCUGGAUCCUUACAGCUAUUGUUGUAGCCUAAAGGAUGGGGUCAUUGCUGUGGCUCUUUAUGAUGCCACCUGGGCUUCCCAGUCUGGGAACCAUCAGAAUGCAGGUCAUGGGAGAUGACUGGGCUGUUUUCCAACAUCUCCUUACUUCUUGCCUGAUAAUAAACCCCUAAGGUAGUCUGGAU